This 1134-nucleotide ribosomal RNA is filed under the name Triticum aestivum (bread wheat). RNAcentral's name for it is "partial small subunit ribosomal RNA". Lineage: Eukaryota; Viridiplantae; Streptophyta; Magnoliopsida; Poales; Poaceae. The record is from RNAcentral.
AUGGAUCAUCGCCUCGUGGCCCCCUUCCUCGUCCUCCUGGGCCUCCUCCUCUCCCCGCCGCCGGCAGCGGCGGCCGCGGGGGACGAGGAGCCCCUGAUCCGGCAGGUCGUCGGCGGCCCCGACCCCCUCGACAACGACCUGGAGCUCGACUCGCAGUUCCUCGGCUUCGUGCAGCGGUUCGGGAAGACCUACAGGGACGCGGAGGAGCACGCGCACCGGCUCUCCGUCUUCAAGGCCAACCUCCGCCGCGCGCGCCGGCACCAGAUGCUCGACCCGUCGGCCGAGCACGGGGUCACCAAGUUCUCCGACCUCACCCCGGCCGAGUUCCGCCGGACCUUCCUGGGGCUCAAGACCACCCGGCGGUCGUUCCUGCGGGAGAUGGCCGGGUCGGCGCACGACGCGCCCGUCCUCCCCACCGACGGCCUCCCCGAGGACUUCGACUGGAGGGACCACGGCGCCGUCGGCCCCGUCAAGAACCAGGGCUCGUGCGGGUCGUGCUGGUCGUUCAGCGCGUCCGGGGCGUUGGAGGGGGCCAACUACCUGGCCACGGGCAAGAUGGAGGUGCUCUCCGAGCAGCAGCUGGUCGACUGCGACCAUGAGUGCGACCCAGCAGAACCUGAUUCAUGCGAUGCUGGAUGCAACGGUGGGUUGAUGACUUCAGCCUUCAGCUAUCUGUUGAAAUCUGGUGGCCUUGAGAGAGAAAAGGAUUACCCUUACACCGGGAAGGACGGUACCUGCAAAUUUGAGAAGUCCAAGAUUGCUGCUUCAGUUCAAAACUUCAGCGUUGUCGCUGUUGAUGAAGAACAGAUUGCUGCUAACCUUGUGAAAUAUGGACCGCUGGCCAUCGGUAUCAACGCUGCAUACAUGCAGACAUACAUCGGCGGAGUGUCAUGCCCAUACAUAUGCGGCAGGCACCUCGACCACGGUGUCCUUCUCGUCGGCUACGGGGCGUCCGGCUUCGCGCCUUCCCGCUUCAAGGAGAAGCCCUACUGGAUCAUCAAGAACUCAUGGGGCGAGAACUGGGGGGACAAGGGUUACUACAAGAUCUGCAGGGGCUCCAACGUGCGAAACAAGUGCGGCGUCGACUCCAUGGUCUCCACGGUGUCCGCCACGCACGCCUCGAAGGAGGAGUAG